This is a non-coding RNA of Cryphonectria parasitica EP155, 72 nucleotides long. The record is from the annotation of a RefSeq genome assembly. NCBI's taxonomy places the organism in Eukaryota, Fungi, Ascomycota, Sordariomycetes, Diaporthales, Cryphonectriaceae.
UCCCAUAUGGUGUAGUGGUCAACAUUCACGCCUCUCAAGCGUGGGCCCCGAGUUCAAUUCUCGGUAUGGGAA